This is a long non-coding RNA of Eucalyptus grandis, 1338 nucleotides long. RefSeq lists it as uncharacterized. NCBI's taxonomy places the organism in Eukaryota, Viridiplantae, Streptophyta, Magnoliopsida, Myrtales, Myrtaceae. The record is from RefSeq and is a predicted model, not a curated record. The transcript is spliced from 2 exons.
AUCUCUAUCUCUUCUCUUCCUCACCCUCACACCACCGUCCAUCUCCCUCCUCCCUCUAACGACUUCCUCCUCUCUGUUCUGGCCUCAUUUUCAUUUUUCAUGGAAAAACCGGCAGCUCCUUCCUUUGAAAGCUGAAGCCCCUUGCAGCGCCACACGUCCACGCCUCCACUUGUGUCGGUCAAUGAAAGGAGCUGUCUUCACCGAUUGUUGACUGCCCGGCUCUGCUUCGUCCACCGUUACGUUCCCCCGCACUAAGCCAGCAUCGAAGGAGUCGCGCCAGCACAUCCAGUCAACUUCAGCUCUUCGUGGACUCUGUGCCGCGUGUCUUUCCUCUACCAGCGACCACCGAAAUUUCGGUCGAGCACCCAGCAGCUUCAUCGACGCCAAAAGCUGCUCUCCUCUCCAUAGCCACGUCCACUUCUUUUCUUCACGGCUGCCGAAGUCAAACGCCUCCAACUGCCGUGCAUCUACUGCCCAUCAGCCUAGCAACCGUUUGUGCCCCUUCUCCACCGAGUUUGUCGGCCACCGAGUCAGCCGAGUCAAGCCACGAAGCAGCAUCCACGAGCUGCCACGUCCUUGGUCAACUGCAGCUCCACCGAAUACUACAGCCCCGUGAUCUGUUUCCUCCCAUCGCACGCUCGGUCAUUUUUCACCAACGAAGACCCAAGCUGGUCUCCUUCUACCGAAGCCGAUUGCUGGUGUUGUUGACCGUGAAGCCACCUGUGCAGCAGCCGUUUGUGCACCCAUCUCCAAGCGUCUUCUUCUCCAGCAGCUCUUCUUCAGCUCGUGGACUCAUUGUCUCUCUUGCUCACGUCAACAGGCCAAGGAGCAGCCCACGGUUUGGGCCAGCAAUUCCAGUAGCUUCACGGCCCAGCAAGCCCAAGAGAAAGAGCAGCCCAUCUCCUUCAGCCCAAGAAGCUAGUGAAGCCCAGCGAAGCCUGCACAUUUGACCCAUCUGAAGACAAGCCCAGCAACUUUCCUCAGUCCAGCAAGUGGUUAUUUGCUCAGUUCAGCCCAUCUUAAAGCCCAAGAAGUUUCAGUAGCUCAGCCGCGAAGUUAGUCGGCCCAAGUUUGGCCGCCGUCAUGUCGCCGUCGCGGUUUUCAAUCUUUGCUUUGCCAAGACCUGGAUGAGAAGCCUAAGGAGCAUGAAUCUGACGAGGGGAUCAUUAUUGAGGAACCUGAAGAGGAGUACGUGGAGGAGGACCCCGAGUAUAACCCCGAGUACGACCCGGAUGAGGACUGAGAUCCCGUCCUGUCUUGUCAGUCCUUGUUUACAUGUAAAAAGUUGUAGUUGUGAAUUUUCAGUAUGAAAAAUGUAUGGCUUGCUUUUCUAUCCCA